Non-coding RNA from Notechis scutatus (mainland tiger snake), 132 nucleotides. Lineage: Eukaryota; Metazoa; Chordata; Lepidosauria; Squamata; Elapidae. The record is from RefSeq and is a predicted model, not a curated record.
AACCAGUGUUUUCAAAUUUUCUGCUGAUUCUGAUCAUCAUCAUUUUCAUUUAACGACCUCAUAAUCCCUGGCGGGGUGGAGUUUGGGCAACUGAAUGGAGCUAGCAGAAGGUUUUAAUGGCCGGAUGCCCUU